Long non-coding RNA from Ailuropoda melanoleuca (giant panda), 2069 nucleotides. RefSeq lists it as uncharacterized. The transcript has 3 exons. The record is from RefSeq and is a predicted model, not a curated record. NCBI's taxonomy places the organism in Eukaryota, Metazoa, Chordata, Mammalia, Carnivora, Ursidae.
CUGGUGACUUGAAGCUGGUCUCCCAGCUUCAAGUGUGGGAGGGAGUUCGGGCUCUGAGUGGGAGUUCUGCCAGCUUGUUGCUGCCGUUUCUUUCCCCUUAUUCGUGAAAUGCGGGGGCUGACAGAGGCUCUCCAGGACAGUGCUUCUCAGGUUUUAACGUGCGGAUCUUGCCCAGGUGUGCGGAUCUGGGGACAGCCUGACGUUCUGCAUUCCAACCCCAUCGCAAGAGGCCAGUGACGCAUGUGCUCAAACCACACUCGAACACGCAGUGACCAACCCCAAGGGACAGCCCAGACCCCAAAGACAUUGGUGCUUCUGGUUCUCUGACUUUUGGACUCCGAUUGGGACUUACACUUUAGGCGCCUGUCCUCAGACCUUCAGACUUGAACAGCUGUCCGGGUUCUCCACACUGCAGAUCAAGGGAUUUCUUGGCCUCCAUAACCAUGAUUUUUUUUAAUCGACUUCUGAAUAAGAAUUUGGAAGGUCCCAAUGUGAAAUGCCCAAGAAGAAAUUUCAUGGUCAUAUCUCAGUGGUUCUUCAGUGACAAGCAUGGUAAAGAAGUGUUACAUUCCAUCAGCCUCACAGAAUGUGUUGUAGGAUGUAUUACCUAGGCCUUCCUUCAGUCUCCUGGAGCUUACGUUCCUUCUCUUGUGGGUUCUUCUUUAUGCUGCCAUGUACUACGGUCCUAGUUUGAUAUAAAACUUGAAUUCACAGUUUCACAUCCCCUUCUCCCACGUAUUCACCAAACAUCUUAGGCAACAUCCUUCUCAGAGCCUUAGUUUCAUUACUCAUAAUACAAAAUGAAAAUACCUACCACUCAGAUCUUCCUUGCUAGGGCUUGAGUAUAACUCCUCUUCUAAAAUAUUCUGUAUCUUUUCCUCGUAUAACUGGGGAUUUACUUCAGUUUAAUGGCAACUCAUUUAGUUAUGUUCUCAGUGUUAGACACAAUAUCUUAUAUGUUCAUAAAAAUUGCAUUUGAGAGGAUUUCUAUGGGCUUGGGAAAAAACAAUCAUGUAGUUUAUAGGUUUUGCAUUUACUUUCAGAAAGGCAAAUUAUUUUAGAAAGGCAAUUAUUUGUCUUCAACUUUCCAACUUAUUGUGGACUUUUUUUCCACGUUGGCUUCUGAAAAGAUACAAAGAACAAUUCUACCGUUUCCUCUGUCUCCUUUUCCCACAUUUCUUAUUUUUCAUGACUAGAAACAGCUUACACUCAUAUCCAUACUAACAACAUGACCUGUCCUCUUUCCCCAUCAUCCCUUAAAAUGUUAUGAAAGUUUAUGACCAUUGAGUGUUAGUCCAUCUUCAUGUAAAAAUUUUUUGGAAGGUGAGUUGCUCUAAGAUUUAUCUUUUUACCAUCAAUCCACAUCCAUCUACAGCCAUCACCCUAAUCCCUGCCACCCUCCCACUGGUUCUACCUGACCUGUGAUCUAUGGGAAAUACCUUUGACUUAUAGUCAGCAUCUCUAGUUUGAGUUCUGGUUUUAUUCCUUAAGAGGUCUAGAAAAGUCCCCUUAAUCAGGGUUCCCAGUUGGGUUCACUCUCCAUAUCAUCUGGGCAGCCUUUUGACUGUUAAAGCACAGUCUUGGAGAUUGAGUGGGGAGAUUGAAGCACAAAAACCUAUUUUAUGAAAUGCUGUCUUAAAUGAUACAAAUGAAGAUUUAAGUUUGGGAUCUAGUGGCCAAAAUUUCUGAAUUACUUCCCUAGCCUGAAAAAUGCUAGGUCUCAUUUAUAGUAAUAUCAUGAAGGUUAAACAAGGCAAUGUAUGGAAAGAACAUUAUAAAUUGGAAAACUGAAUAUAAUACAAGCCCUCAUGAGUCAAUAUUCUUGUGGAAUUUAGAGUAUAAUAAGUUUAUACACAGAGGAUGAGAAACAAACAUUAUCAAUACUGAUGAUCUGAGAUGCUCGUAGUAUAAAAUCUCAGGGUAUACCAGAACACAACUUUAAAAACACAUAAAGGCAUUUUAAAACCAAUAGACAAAAUGUUUUUACUGUACUUUAAAAUUUAAAAAAAUGUAAAAAUAAAUUCCUUCCUUUCUGACUUCCUGAAUUACAUUGACUUCAUUGUGGGAAU